CUUAGUAAACUGUACAAUAAAACACUCGUUGAAGUUCAAUAAAAAAAAAGAUAACAACAAAAUGAAAGAACCCAUGGAGUGAAAUUUACGAAAAUCAGGCACAUCAAAACCUUGGGCUGCCGCCUGCCCCUCCCCAUGGAAAUUUUCGAUGGUAACCUUGACAGGCUCGAGCACUACCAUAUGUCUGCUAGCUUGCACAUUUAGUACAUCCCUGACAGCGGCCUCCAGCACCAUGGGAUCAACCACAGCUUGAGCCCCAGUCACCCCCAUUUGCGCACAGAAAUUAUUAAUAGCCUCUGGAGGAAAACCCCUUCUUCUCAAUGCAGUUAACGUAAACAGUCUAGGAUCAUCCCAAUCACUAACAAUCCCUUCACCAAUCAAUUUUGCUAUUUUCCUUUUCGAAACCACAGUAUAACUGACAUUUAAUCGCCCAUACUCCCACUGGACUGGACAGUAAACUUCCAAAAUAUUACAGAGCCAGUAAUAAGAGCUUCUCCUCGUCUGGAACUCCUUAGUGCAGAGAGAAUGCGUAAUAUUCUCGAUACUAUCACAAAGGCAAUGUGUGAAGUCGUAUGUCGGAUAAAUGCACCAUUUAUCACCGGUUCUGUGAUGAGGGUUGCUUCUCCUUCUUCCAAUAAUCCAUUCUUCAUGUCCUCAAACAGCUGAAGACUCUCAGAAAUUGGCCGCUCUCUCCAGGGGGAAGGUGGAGGAUUGAAUCCCUUCAUCUCUUCGCUUUUUUGAUGACAGACGGUUCGUGUCAUCGUAACGGAGAUAACAGAGACCUGAGAAAAAUUAUUCGGACAUAGCAACAGAGAAGUUAAACGAGAUGAGUCAAUUUUGCUUGGGAAGAUUAUUUCGGAUUGAAAGGGUGAGAUUUGUGUUCUCUCUCCACGCCGCAAUAAAACAAAACAAAUAGUUAGAAACAAAAACUGGCGGAAUUUAACUGAAAAUUGAAGUAAACCAAAAAACUAAACUCCAUCACGGCAACAAACUAUAACAAAUUCCAAUUAUACCGUUAUUAAACCUUGUGUCUAUUGUUAUAUACAUUUUCCUUAGGAAAUUUCGGCAAUA
This is a long non-coding RNA of Diachasma alloeum, 1071 nucleotides long. RefSeq lists it as uncharacterized. The record is from RefSeq and is a predicted model, not a curated record. Lineage: Eukaryota; Metazoa; Arthropoda; Insecta; Hymenoptera; Braconidae. The transcript has 4 exons.